UUGCUUACCAAUAUCAAAGCGCUAGCGUAAAACAAUUUGGGAAGUGGGCAUUGCGUGAUUUAACGUUAUUUUACACAGAAAUGUUCAGCCAACUUGUCGGUGUAAUUGAGCGUUUUACAAUUGCAAUGCUGCUGACGAGCCAUGUUUAUCAGGCUGUGUUGUUGUGUGAUGAAUGUGGCAUCAUUUUCACUUGGCUUUCAGUCAUUUGUUGUAUUCAGUGUUUAAAGGAAAUGGGCAUUAUUGUAAGUGCCUUGGAGGAACAAAACCAAAAAUGUCCGUGUAAUUGAAAGCUUUUGUCUUGGUCUUUUACAACUGUUUACAAGUGCUUCUUGUGCACCAGAGAUGCUCAUAAUCAAAGAACAUGGUAAAUGGACUGCAUUUAUCUAGCACUUCUAUCCAAAGUGCUUUACAAUUGAUGCCUCUCAUUUGCCAGAGCAGUUAUGGGUUAGGUGUCUUGCUCAAGGACACUUCGACAUGCCCAGGGCGGGGUUUUUGAACCGGCAACCCUCUUCUGCCUCCUGAGCUAUGUCGCCCAGACAUAGUGUUUGAGUGUUUGCACCUUUCUGAGAAAACUUUUAGAUUUUUAGUGGAUGUCAGUGUAGACAUAAUUUUUUGACUGGACUGUAUACUGUGUUUACAUUGUAGGUUUUAUAGCUGUAUUAUCUCUUUGCUCCCUUUUCACCUAAGUUGAUGUGAGGUGAGCGUUCUGGGGCAAAAUGGCUGCCCUGCAUCACCCAGGUGGAUGCUACACAUUGGUGGUGGUUCAGAGCAGUCAGGGGCUUCCUGGGUGAGGCAGUGGAGUUCGGCUGUGUCGCUGUCCCAAGUCAGGACCUCUCUUUACGGCACAGGAGCCACUGAGGCGUGGAGAGGGGGUCACUCGCCAUCUUGGGGGAACACCACCCCGACCUGAUGCCUGGCUUCGUCCAUGAUCUCAGUCAAGAGGGAUGACUCCUCCAGUGACAUCCGAGAGCUCUCUUUAAGUCCUAGGGAAGAGAUCCGAAUGUAGUGUUAGGCCCUUGUGUCUGCGAUCUCAAAAAUGACUUUGUUUAGCAAGUUUGCUUUUAAGAAAGCUUAAAAACUGUGAAAUGUUGUCAUUAAAUGCUUAUCAGCAUAUAUCCCUUCAAAUAACAGCAUUUUCUAAAGAGCAAUUCGUUUUCUUUAAAAAAUAUCUAAAAAGCAACAGUAUACCGUAAGUCAUUGUGAUGGCAUGCUUACUUUGAUAAAAACUUCAACCUAG
Long non-coding RNA from Anguilla rostrata (American eel), 1237 nucleotides. RefSeq lists it as uncharacterized. The record is from RefSeq and is a predicted model, not a curated record. Lineage: Eukaryota; Metazoa; Chordata; Actinopteri; Anguilliformes; Anguillidae. The transcript is spliced from 2 exons.